UCUAACAACUAUUUUAUUUUCAAAUAACAGUUUGAAUUGAGGUGUGUUCCGCCUUAUUCAUUCACAUAAAAUUAGUCAUUUUUACUUUUGCGGACAUUUCUGACACUGACAAAAUUCCCUAAACAAUUCUCAAUUGUUUGUGCAGUUCAAGUCUGCAGACAUUUGCUCAUCUGCCGUCCAGCAUACGUGUCCAUAUUGUCCAUCUGUUGCCUGCAUCGCAAUCAAAGUUGUUUUCGUUACCAAUAAUACCUUUGGAAAUGUGUGCGUUUCUAUCAAAUGGCACAGCGUCUCAGUGCUAGAGAUGUCACUACAGACACCCAUCUUCAAAUCCAGACUGCGUUUCAAUCAAAGUGGUCCACCUUCCCUGUGGCUGACAUGGUUGCUGUAUGGACAGUGGAGAGGACGUGGACGUCUCGUUUGUCAUGGCACUUUACUGCCAGCUGUUGACAUUUCUUAUUUUGUAUAACGGGUCAUUUAGGAUGGCAGUAGCAUUGUUGAUGAAAUGCAGUCAUAGCAGCAGAACUAGAAAGCAGUCUUGGGAAAAGAGGGUGGCAAAGACGUGAGUUGCAAACAUAGGAUCUCUGCUCCAGUAUUCUCUUAGGGAGUUCUUCUUUACUAUCCCCAUGAGAAGGACUGUCACCAGGAAGGUAUACAUUUCACUAAUUGUGGUUGUCCCCCCCACUCCUGGCUCUCUCUUCUCCUGUAGCUCCAAAGCAUAACGAUUGGUCUCUACUAUGUCUCCCACCAGCUCCUCUGUCAGAAACAACUUGAAGCACUCUGCCUCAGAUGGAAAUGGCAAGGGGCGUUGCACUCCAGACUGGGACUCAUCAAUACAAACAGCACUGCCAGGAGGGGUGAAAUGGCUGGCAGCCUUCCAGCUACCACAGAACUCCUGUACUUCAUCCUCUGUUGGUCUGCCUCCAUCACCACCAGCAUCUCCAAAGGGAACUCGGACUUUGUCAGUGGAUUAGGGGUCCUCAGACAACUGGUCCUCUGGCACUGUCAGAAUCUGAUUCCUGACUUUCAGACUCAGACUCAUUGUCAGAAUAUUUUUAAAUCUCCAGAAUUUCCGCAUUUGUGAGUUGUCUCCUUUUGAAAGACAUUGCUAAUGCUAAUGCUCAUUAGCUACAUACAUAAACAACAACACUGAAUGGCUCAGAGUGGGAGUGAGAGGUUAAGUGAUUGACUGCCUGCACGCGCCAUUUGUAUCAAUAAAUCACUAUCAGAAAAUGUUUUGUGUGGUAUUAUGGAUAUAUUUACUAUUUUAUUCACGUUUUUCAAUUACCGGUGAUAAAUCAUGCAUUCCAAUUUUUGCAUAGAUUGUAAUGGGCACAUAGAAUGUGUAAAAUAUUUUUUUGAAAGGUUGUACUGAUUGUGAUGAACUGAGCUAAUUCCAGCUGUGUUUGGAGCCAUGUUUGUUGACAUACAAUGCAUUCUGGGUUUCACUUGAUCGUCUGUCGGACCAAAGAGGCUAUAACAAAAUGAGGUGAGUAAGGGUUCACUCAUUUUUUGAGAACUUCAGGAAG
Long non-coding RNA from Salvelinus fontinalis (brook trout), 1526 nucleotides. RefSeq lists it as uncharacterized. The transcript is spliced from 3 exons. Lineage: Eukaryota; Metazoa; Chordata; Actinopteri; Salmoniformes; Salmonidae. The record is from RefSeq and is a predicted model, not a curated record.